This 86-nucleotide transfer RNA is filed under the name Candidatus Roizmanbacteria bacterium RIFCSPHIGHO2_12_FULL_44_10. Its description in RNAcentral is "tRNA-Leu". It matches the Rfam family "tRNA". Rfam says of the family: Transfer RNA (tRNA) molecules are approximately 80 nucleotides in length. Their secondary structure includes four short double-helical elements and three loops (D, anti-codon, and T loops). Lineage: Bacteria; Candidatus Roizmaniibacteriota. The record is from RNAcentral.
GCCGGGGUGGCGGAAUGGCAGACGCGUAGGUCUCAAAAACCUAUGAAGCUUGCUUCAUGUGGGUUCGACUCCCACCCCCGGCACCA